CGAGAGUCCCCCAGUAGCGGCGAGCGAACGGGGAGCAGCCCAGAGCCUGAAUCAGUGUGUGUGUUAGUGGAAGCGUCUGGAAAGGCGUGCGAUACAGGGUGACAGCCCCGUACACAAAAAUGCACAUGCUGUGAGCUCGAUGAGUAGGGCGGGACACGUGGUAUCCUGUCUGAAUAUGGGGGGACCAUCCUCCAAGGCUAAAUACUCCUGACUGA
Molecule: ribosomal RNA, 215 nt
Filed under: Escherichia coli
Lineage: Bacteria; Pseudomonadati; Pseudomonadota; Gammaproteobacteria; Enterobacterales; Enterobacteriaceae
Description: partial 23S ribosomal RNA
Rfam family: Bacterial large subunit ribosomal RNA
Source: RNAcentral